AUUUAAUGUUGUCAGUGUUUUGUUUUAUGUUAUGUUUAAGGAUUUGUUCUCGUUUCCUGUUUUAUUGUGAAGGUCUGCGUCUCAUGUGAGUGUGUUCAGUUUUACCUCUGUCUCGUCUUGUUGAUUAUUCCCAGCUGUGUUCCCCACCUGUGUGUAAUCUCCCUGUGUUUCUCUGUGUGUAUUUAAGUCGCGUCCUCUGUCUUUGUGUUUUGGCUGGUCCGUCUGUGUAUCCACCAUGUCUUAUCCGUGUGUUUCCCUGCUGCCAACCGUCAUCUGUUUUCUGCUCGCUGUUAUUCGUGUUCAGGUUUGUGUUUCUGUUCAGGGUCAGUAGUUUAGUUUUCCCAGUAUAGUUUAGUUCUCCGUUUACCAUUUUGUCCAUCUCUUUUGUUGUGUUUGCCUUAGUGGCACCAGCCAUUUUUAGCCAACCUGGUUGUCCAUUUUAAGAUAAAGCCUCUUCUCAUCCCACAAUCUGGUAUUCAUCUUCUUUUAUGUUGCGGCUAUGAGCUGGGUCGUAACAAGCGUGUCGCCAGCACGCAGGGACCUCCAUGGCAUUGAAGAUGAUAACAGAAUGAUUUGAGAGUCAAUACAGGUCCCUGAUUGGAGAAGCUGGCGGCUGCUGAUUGGUCCCUUGAUCAUGUGGUUGCUUUGAAAAUCUGUCACCAGCAGUUGUCCCUGGGCAGCAACUGACAGCAGCAGCAGACCCAUCCUUGGCCUCCAAACCCUGUUUUCUCCUGUUUAUUCAGUUAGGAAGUUAGGGGUAGCAUUUGUCUUUUGUUUGUUCUUUUUAUCACGUAAGGUUUAGGUAGCACCCCCUUGACUAAUUAAGCUGGUUUUGUUUGUUAUUUUGCCCUUUGUUCACCCCGGAGUCACGAUUCAGUUUAGGCACAAUAAACCACUUUCACAUAUAAAUUGGCUGUGGUAUGGUUUUGGGGACCAGGGCGGGGUCACUUUCUGUUUAACUUAUGCUACGUUCCUGUACCACUAGACAGGGGCGUAACAACAGGUACAGGUGAACAGCGCAGACCAGUCUCACAGCUAAACGUGAAGAAAUCAUGAAGUUUCAUGUAGUUUUUGGUUCACAUGGACAUGAAAUGUGGCCAUUUAUACGACAGGGG
Long non-coding RNA from Oreochromis aureus, 1115 nucleotides. Lineage: Eukaryota; Metazoa; Chordata; Actinopteri; Cichliformes; Cichlidae. The record is from Ensembl.